AUUUAAGGGCGAUCUGACUUUGACAUCUGUCACCUCAUUGAUCACCAGGGUUGAUUUGGCUAAUCUGGAUGAUUAGGUGGUGACCUCUUCCUCCCUCACUGCUCCAUGUAUGUCCCUUCCAAAGCUGCGUGUUCAGUAGAAGAGGAUGACUGCCACAGGUAGAAGGAGUGUACCGAGGUUUCCAUCUUCCAUCCCCAGUAUAGGAAGUAGAGUCCAUGUAGUUUUAACAUCUGGAGACCUACAUUUAGGAACAGGUGUUCUGAGUUCUGUAGAGAUCAGUUAGAGUGAACUUUAUUAAAACUUUAUUAAUACAGCUAGAAAUUACUCUAGAUCAGGAAGGGUAAGCUUGU
RNAcentral lists this small nuclear RNA (350 nucleotides) under Anolis carolinensis (green anole). RNAcentral describes it as "7SK RNA". It matches the Rfam family "7SK RNA". From Rfam's summary of the family: 7SK was discovered as an abundant small nuclear RNA in the mid-70s but a possible function has only recently been suggested. Two independent studies have found that 7SK RNA binds the CDK9/cyclin T complex (known as elongation factor P-TEFb). P-TEFb activates transcription by phosphorylating the C-terminal domain of RNA polymerase II. The record is from Rfam by way of RNAcentral. Lineage: Eukaryota; Metazoa; Chordata; Lepidosauria; Squamata; Anolidae.